Molecule: small RNA, 125 nt
Filed under: Marmota monax (woodchuck)
Lineage: Eukaryota; Metazoa; Chordata; Mammalia; Rodentia; Sciuridae
Source: RNAcentral
GCCAGGUGCAGUGAUGGACCCCUGUAAUCCCAGCAACUUGGGAGGCUAAGACAGGAGGAUCGCAAAUUCAAAGUCAGCAUCAGCGAUGGCAAGGCAUUGAGCAACUCAGUGAGACCCUGUCUCUA